CCUACGGGAGGCAGCAGUGAGGAAUAUUGGUCAAUGGACGGAAGUCUGAACCAGCCAUGCCGCGUGAAGGAAGACGGCCCUAUGAGUUGUAAACUGCUUUUGUAAAAGGGUAAACCUGAAUACGUGUAUUUAUCUGUAAGUACUGUAUGAAUAAGGAUCGGCUAACUCCGUGCCAGCAGCCGCGGUAAUACGGAGGAUCCAAGCGUUAUCCGGAUUUAUUGGGUUUAAAGGGUGCGUAGGCGGAUUGAUAAGUUAGAGGUGAAAUGUCCGGGCUUAACUCGGGAACUGCAUCUGAUACUGGUGAUCUAGAGAAUAGAUGCGGUAGGCGGAAUGUAAGGUGUAGCGGUGAAAUGCUUAGAUAUCAUACAGAACACCGAUUGCGAAGGCAGCUUACCAAUCUAUAUCUGACGUUGAGGCACGAAAGCGUGGGGAGCAAACAGGAUUAGAUACCCUUGUAGUC
This 460-nucleotide ribosomal RNA is filed under the name uncultured bacterium. RNAcentral's name for it is "partial 16S ribosomal RNA". It matches the Rfam family "Bacterial small subunit ribosomal RNA", at positions 338 to 795 of the family's 1533-position model. The record is from RNAcentral.